RNAcentral lists this unclassified non-coding RNA (214 nucleotides) under Hevea brasiliensis (rubber tree). The record is from RNAcentral. Lineage: Eukaryota; Viridiplantae; Streptophyta; Magnoliopsida; Malpighiales; Euphorbiaceae.
GGUUGUUGGAGGUACCAUUCGCUGGAGAAGAUAUCUAGAUCACUUGAUUCUUUCAUUAUGCCACAAUGAGCGGACAUUCAGAAGCAUGGAACCUCUUCUAGUACAGAUUCUUCGAAUUGGUUUCUAUGAGAUCACCAAGUUAGACAUGCCACCUUAUGCUGUUGUAGAUGAGAGUGUAAGACUUGCAAAGGUUGCUCUUAGACCAGGUGCUGGU